Molecule: ribosomal RNA, 497 nt
Filed under: uncultured bacterium
Lineage: Bacteria
Description: partial 16S ribosomal RNA
Rfam family: Bacterial small subunit ribosomal RNA
Source: RNAcentral
GAUGAACGCUGGCGGCGUGCCUAAUACAUGCAAGUCGAGCGAACGGACGAGAAGCUUGCUUCUCUAAUGUUAGCGGCGGACGGGUGAGUAACACGUGGAUAACCUACCUAUAAGACUGGGAUAACUUCGGGAAACCGUAGCUAAUACCGGAUAAUAUUUUGAACCGCAUGGUUCAAAAGUGAAAGACGGUCUUGCUGUCACUUAUAGAUGGAUCCGCGCUGCAUUAGCUAGUUGGUAAGGUAACGGCUUACCAAGGCAACGAUGCAUAGCCGACCUGAGAGGGUGAUCGGCCACACUGGAACUGAGACACGGUCCAGACUCCUACGGGAGGCAGCAGUAGGGAAUCUUCCGCAAUGGGCGAAAGCCUGACGGAGCAACGCCGCGUGAGUGAUGAAGGUCUUCGGAUCGUAAAACUCUGUUAUUAGGGAAGAACAUAUGUGUAAGUAACUGUGCACAUCUUGACGGUACCUAAUCAGAAAGCCACGGCUAACUACGUG